GUUGACGUAAUGGCUUUAAACGACCCGUCUUGAAACACGGACCAAGGAGUCUAACAUAUAUGCGAGUGUUAUUGAAAGGGAAACGAUUGAAGUCUAACAUAUAUGCGAGUGUUUAAACACUCGCAUAUAUGUUAGAGUAUUU
This 142-nucleotide ribosomal RNA is filed under the name Rhizophagus intraradices. Lineage: Eukaryota; Fungi; Glomeromycota; Glomeromycetes; Glomerales; Glomeraceae. The record is from RNAcentral.